RNAcentral lists this ribosomal RNA (344 nucleotides) under uncultured bacterium. RNAcentral describes it as "bacterial SSU rRNA". It matches the Rfam family "Bacterial small subunit ribosomal RNA", at positions 29 to 355 of the family's 1533-position model. The record is from RNAcentral.
AGCGAACGUUAGCGGCGGGCUUAACACAUGCAAGUCGAGCGAGAAAGUGGCUUCGGCCAUCAGUAAAGCGGCGGACGGGUGAGUAACACGUAGGUAACCUGCCCCAUAGUCUGGAACAACUAGAGGAAACUCUAGCUAAUGCCGGAUAAGACCACGGUUCCCUCGGGAACUGCGGCCAAAGAUGGCCUCCGUUUACAUGCUAUCGCUGAGGGAGUGGGCCUGCGGGCCAUUAGCUUGUUGGUGAGGUAACGGCUCACCAAGGCUGUGAUGGCUAGCUGGUCUGAGAGGAUGACCAGCCACACUGGGACUGAGACACGGCCCAGACUCCUACGGGAGGCAGCAGU